GACUUUUUCUUGCAGUGAGUUUUACAGCUAACUGAUCACAGCCAGUUACAGAUUUCUUUGUUCCUUCUCUGCUACUGCUGCUUCACUUGACUAGCCUUAG
Cebus imitator (Panamanian white-faced capuchin) is the source of this 100-nucleotide unclassified non-coding RNA. It matches the Rfam family "Y RNA". Rfam says of the family: Y RNAs are components of the Ro ribonucleoprotein particle (Ro RNP), in association with Ro60 and La proteins. The Y RNAs and Ro60 and La proteins are well conserved, but the function of the Ro RNP is not known. In humans the RNA component can be one of four small RNAs -- hY1, hY3, hY4 and hY5. NCBI's taxonomy places the organism in Eukaryota, Metazoa, Chordata, Mammalia, Primates, Cebidae. The record is from Ensembl.